GGCGGCGCCUGAGGAGCAGGAUCUAACUCAGGAGCAGACCGAGAAGCUGCUGCAGUUUCAGGUAGCAGCGAGUUCUCGGUGCAGCAAAGGCCGCCGCGGGAUGGGGAGUGGGACCCUAGAGGAGCGCAAAAUCAUCCUCAGUUGGGGUUGGGACCAUUUUCAGACCCGCUGGCGGCCCCCUCCCCCCCAAACGCCAACUGCCCGGAUUUCCCCGGCGUCCAACCUCUGUCGGUACUCAGCCUUCCAGCCACCUCUGCCAGCCAGGCUCGACCACAGUGGGUCAGCUGCCUUAAUUUCCCUUAGCGGCGCCGGUCCGCAAUGCUUGCCAGCCUGAUUAACCCGCCAGACCCUCUCCGCCCAUCGACUGUUGAUGUGCUAAGAGCCUAAAAUCCCCUUC
Molecule: long non-coding RNA, 397 nt
Filed under: Rattus norvegicus (Norway rat)
Lineage: Eukaryota; Metazoa; Chordata; Mammalia; Rodentia; Muridae
Description: long non-coding RNA NONRATT012805
Source: RNAcentral